Molecule: long non-coding RNA, 2663 nt
Organism: Dermochelys coriacea (leatherback sea turtle)
Lineage: Eukaryota; Metazoa; Chordata; Testudines; Dermochelyidae
Exons: 4
Source: RefSeq, a predicted model, not a curated record
ACACAGAGAACAUGAAACAAUGGGUGUUACCUAUUACACACUGUAAGGAGAGUGAUGAGGUACUGGAGUCUGAAGGACUUAGAUACAUGGUUGGAUGUUUACCUGAGCAUUUCUAUUGUGACAUCAAGAUUUUGGCAGGAUGUCACUAUGCUCGUAGGUCAACACUGCUGUUUCCCCAAAGGGCUCUGUGGUGCCUUAAUUUGCAAGACACAAUGUGUGAGUGAGAAAGACACGGGGGGAGGUGUGCACAGGGGUUUUGCACUAGUCUAGCUCCAGUCUCCGGGGGCAUUCUGUCUGGGGACAUAGACAAUGGAAUGAGUGUGCUGGAAAGAAGUGCGGGCCAUUUUUUCAAGCUGGAGCAUGUGCUUCACCGCACAGCUGCUGCAGUCUGCUAGCCUAUGCAGAAGAGGAGGAAAGCCAGAGCAUUCAAACUAACAGCCCUGUAGUUUAAACAGCCGCAAGGCAUUCUCCGUAAGGGGUCUAUGAAUUACAACUUAUUUCCUUUAGUCCACUGGAUUUGGUGGCCCUCUUGGUACGCAGCAAGAUUCAUCUAUUCCCCCCAAAAUGUUGGAGAUGGAAAGGCAGUUUGGGGGAUAGAGGGAUGUUCAUGCCUGGAUUAGCCAAUCCGCACUCAAUUUACUUGCACAGGACUCCUGAUCUAAAAGAGGCCCUGGCCAGCUUUGGGCCUAGGGUUGCCACCUGGUCCGUUUUUAAAGGGCCUGGACAGUUUUUCUCCUUCAUUGCUGGUUGCAAUGUUCCUUUUUUCCCUACUUGUAAUUUACAAGUUAUUUGUAAGUUAUUUAAGUCAGUAACAUCUCCCUCCCCAUUAAAACCAGCAACAGCUGCUGCACACAUGAGGUGGGGGUAGGGGCGCACCAGCAGCUGCUUUCACUAUGGCAUGCAGGUCACAUAACUGCUGGGAUCACUCCUAGAGUGGUAACCUAUAUUCCGCUCCAUACGCCAGACCCUCAACCUGCUGGCAUGGCGGCUAAGGCUCCUGCUCCUCUCCUUGCCGGAAAGCAGGACACACCUGUAAUGGCAUGCUAAAUUGUAUUUUUCUGUUCAGCCACAUGUAUUAUACCUUAACAAGCUCGCAACAGCUGAGCCAUUCUUGGCAGUACAUUAAAGGGUCUUAUCAUGAACAAAACUGAGAGGGAAUCUCUGUGACCAGUCCAUAUCUGGUACAGAAACCUGACAUGUUAGUAGCAGCCCUGCAACCUACUGUUUAUAAGGUGUAGGUGACAUGGAGUCAGAAGCAAACUAGUGCCAGAGUGAACAGAAACAGAAGGAACAAAGCAACAAAGGUUGCAGACAGAAGGAGGGGAAAAAGCAACAAAUUUUGCAAAAUUUCAUUAACAUCCCACUGUUCAGUGCCCCAGAGAACUUCAGCUGUGAUAAACCUUCCCAAUGGAGAGACUACAAACAGUAUUUUGCAAGAUUUCACAUUACAACCAAACUCCAAAAGGAAACUGGAGAUAUUCAGGGGCCAAAUGAUGAAAAUGCCUUCAAAAAGAUAAAACAAAUAAUCUCAACAGCUUCAGUUCUCAAGUACUAUGAUGUGAACAACCCACAAUGUCCAGCAAGGAUGCACGCAGCUAUGGCCUAGGUGGUAUACUGUGUUCCCUCUGAGGUGCGUGGCUGCACAGAAGUCCAUCAAAGGCCUCACACACAGUACUAAUAUUUCCUCAUAUGGAAGUUUUCCCAUGACUUUCUCACAUAAUCCGAUGAAGUUACAAUGGCUCCCAGAUCUCAGCAUUGCCUUGAUAUUUAUUUGUGCUGCACAUAGCAAAAUUCAUUCCGCACAUGGAUGGAAAGAAUUAGAGGGAACAUUGGUGGUAUAUUGUUGCAACAACAUUGAUUUGAGUUAAAGCCAAUUGUAUUUUGCUCUCAUACACUCACAGAUGCAUAAAAAUAAUAUGGACGUAUUGAAAAAGGAGUGACUGGCAAGCAUAUGGGCACAUGAGAACUUUUUUUCAUAUAUCAGUAUGGAUUAGACUCUUAUACAUCGAUAACAGACCAUAUACUGUUUUAACCCUCAUCUGUGGAAAAGACCUGAAUCAAACACCACGGAGACACCAAUGUCUUUUGAUAAAGUUAAUGUGAUUUAACCUGUUUGCUAAAUAUGUUGCUGGGAAAAAUCUGGUGGUAGUAGACACUGUCACGGAGCCCAGAUCAACUACUUGUGAACUAGAAGAUGAUGUAAAGCGGACAUGGAUGCUCUGGACACAUACACACCAGGAUCAGAAAAGAGAUCACACCAGCUAUAACAAGCAACCUUGAGACAUACACACAACUUUUAAGAAGUUCUAAGUUACGUUAGGCUGGCCCAAGUAUCUAAAGAACACUAAGGAAGUGACAAGAGACCACUUUAUGGUAUGUAGACAAUUAAGUGAUUCAGAUGGACUCAUAAUUAAAAGUGACUGCAUCAUAAUUCCAAAUGAAAUGAGAGGAGAAAUCCUAAAUCUUUAUAUCCUUCAUGGAUCAGGACUAACUAAAUGGGCUAACUAGUCAGUGUGGAAGCUGGGCAUCAGCAAAGACAUAAAGAAUAAAAAGAAAAGAAGUACUUGUGGCACCUUAGAGACUAACAAAUUUAUUUGAGCAUAAGCUUUCGUGAGCUACAGCUCACUUCAUCGGAUGCAUGUACAUCGGAUGUAGCUCACGAA